CCUACGGGAGGCAGCAGUGGGGAAUAUUGCACAAUGGGGGAAACCCUGAUGCAGCAACGCCGCGUGAGUGAAGAAGUAUUUCGGUAUGUAAAGCUCUAUCAGCAGGGAAGAAAAUGACAGUACCUGACUAAGAAGCCCCGGCUAACUACGUGCCAGCAGCCGCGGUAAUACGUAGGGGGCAAGCGUUAUCCGGAUUUACUGGGUGUAAAGGGAGCGUAGACGGCUGCGCAAGUCAGAAGUGAAAGCCCGGGGCGCAACCGCGGGACUGCUUUUGAAACUGUGUAGCUAGAGUGCAGGAGAGGUAAGUGGAAUUCCUAGUGUAGCGGUGAAAUGCGUAGAUAUUAGGAGGAACACCAGUGGCGAAGGCGGCUUACUGGACUGUAACUGACGUUGAGGCUCGAAAGCGUGGGGAGCAAACAGGAUUAGAUACCCCAGUAGUC
Molecule: ribosomal RNA, 440 nt
Filed under: uncultured bacterium
Lineage: Bacteria
Description: partial 16S ribosomal RNA
Rfam family: Bacterial small subunit ribosomal RNA
Source: RNAcentral